GGCGGAUGCAGCCAAGUGGAUUAAGGCAGUGGAUUGUAAAUGCACCACGUAUGGGUUCAAUUCUUAUAAUUUGCC
Molecule: transfer RNA, 75 nt
Filed under: Lycoris radiata (red spider lily)
Lineage: Eukaryota; Viridiplantae; Streptophyta; Magnoliopsida; Asparagales; Amaryllidaceae
Description: tRNA-His
Rfam family: tRNA
About the family: Transfer RNA (tRNA) molecules are approximately 80 nucleotides in length. Their secondary structure includes four short double-helical elements and three loops (D, anti-codon, and T loops).
Source: RNAcentral